This 576-nucleotide unclassified non-coding RNA is filed under the name Hevea brasiliensis (rubber tree). The record is from RNAcentral. Lineage: Eukaryota; Viridiplantae; Streptophyta; Magnoliopsida; Malpighiales; Euphorbiaceae.
GAACUGCUCAAUUCUUGGAUGUUUUAGCCCUCUGUCUGAGUCAAAAUUCAGUUUUUGCUGGUCCCCUUGAGAAGAAUGUUGCAGCAAAGCGUUCCUCAUCAGGGUUCAUGCAUUCCAUAGCAGAGAUAAGAGCUGUUAGAGCUGCUGACUCUGACAAUCUGGGAAGUAGAAAGAAUCAAAAUAGAAGAGUACAUACCACGGAAAGUAUAAAGAAUGAGCAUCAGCUGCCACGUUUGCCGCCCUGGUUUGUUUAUGUUGGCAGCCAGAAGCUGUACCAUUCUGUAGCUGGGAUCCUUCGACUUGUAGGGUUAUCUUUAUUCGCAGACCCUCGAAGUGAAGGGCCUCUCUCUGUCAUCAUUGACUUGCCAUUGGAGAACCUGCGGAAAUUGGUUUCUGAAAUACGGAUGAAGGAAUACAGUGAAGAAAGUUGGCAAUCUUGGUAUAGCAGGAUUACUUCAGGACAAUUAGUACGUCAGGCCAGUACAGCUGUGUGUAUCCUGAAUGAGUUGAUAUUUGGUUUGUCAGAUCAAGCACUUGAUGACUUUAACAGAAUGUUUAGAGCAUAUGUAAUGGAAC